This 405-nucleotide ribosomal RNA is filed under the name uncultured bacterium. RNAcentral's name for it is "bacterial SSU rRNA". It matches the Rfam family "Bacterial small subunit ribosomal RNA", at positions 43 to 495 of the family's 1533-position model. The record is from RNAcentral.
CAGGCCUAACACAUGCAAGUCGAACGAAGCCUUCGGGCUUAGUGGCGCACGGGUGAGUAACACGUGGGAAUAUACCUUUCGGUGGGGGAUAACAUCGGGAAACUGAUGCUAAUACCGCAUACGCCCCAAGGGGGAAAGAUUUAUCGCCGAGAGAUUAGCCCGCGUCCGAUUAGCUAGUUGGUGAGGUAACGGCUCACCAAGGCGACGAUCGGUAGCUGGUCUGAGAGGAUGAUCAGCCACACUGGGACUGAGACACGGCCCAGACUCCUACGGGAGGCAGCAGUGGGGAAUAUUGGACAAUGGGCGCAAGCCUGAUCCAGCCAUGCCGCGUGAGUGAUGAAGGCCUUAGGGUUGUAAAGCUCUUUCGUCGGGGACGAUAAGACGGUACCCGAAGAAGAAGCCCCG